Molecule: ribosomal RNA, 564 nt
Filed under: Sulabanus gracilis
Lineage: Eukaryota; Metazoa; Arthropoda; Insecta; Coleoptera; Lycidae
Description: partial 16S ribosomal RNA
Rfam family: Archaeal large subunit ribosomal RNA
Source: RNAcentral
UGAUAUUUUAAAUUGCCGCAGUAUUUUGACUGUGCAAAGGUAGCAUAAUAAUUAGUUUCUUAAUUAGGAACUGGAAUGAAUGAUUGGACAAGAAAAUUUCUGUCUCUCUUUUAAUUUUUUUGAAUUUUAUUUUUAAGUGAAAAAGCUUAAAUUUUUAUAAAAGACGAGAAGACCCUAUAGAGUUUAAUAGAUUAGUUUAAUUAAUUUUUAGGAAUGGCUAUUACAAUAAUUUAUUUAGUUGGGGUGAUUUGAAGAUUAAAAAAAUUCUUUGAUUAUUAAGUUAAUAAUUUUUAAUUUUUUUAUUUAAAUUUGUUAAAUUUAAAAUAAAUUACCUUAGGGAUAACAGCGUAAUUUUUCUUAAAAGUUCUUAUUUAAAGGAAAGUUUGCGACCUCGAUGUUGGAUUAAAAUUAAUUUUUGGUGCAAUAACUUAAAAAUUAGGUCUGUUCGACCUUUAAAAUUUUACAUGAUCUGAGUUUAAACCGGUGUAAACCAGGUUGGAUUCUAUCUUUAGAGAAUUAAAUAUAUUUUAGUACGAAAGGACCAAGUAUAUGUUAAAUUAAUUG